GUGGGAACGUGGGACCCCUCUUCUCUCCUCCGACCAAAGCAGUGCUGCAGAAGCUGCACCUUCGUGGGCCUCAUCCCCACUGCAGCCCAACCCGGAUGGCAUCGCCAAAUUCCAUCAGUGACAGCAAGGAGGGCGAGGAGGCCUCGCUACGUGGAGGAUUCAGCAUCCUGCUUCUGUCUGGAGAUGAGCUGAGCCUCCUUCAGG
This 204-nucleotide long non-coding RNA is filed under the name Gallus gallus (chicken). The record is from RNAcentral. Lineage: Eukaryota; Metazoa; Chordata; Aves; Galliformes; Phasianidae.